This 13140-nucleotide long non-coding RNA is filed under the name Homo sapiens (human). RNAcentral's name for it is "HSALNT0233386". The record is from RNAcentral. Lineage: Eukaryota; Metazoa; Chordata; Mammalia; Primates; Hominidae.
CUCACAGCAACAAACUGGGGAUUCUGUCUUAAACAGAAAUAUGAUUUAUCCAUUAGAAUCUUUCCCCAACCCAGUGACACUUUGCUUGACCCAUUGUUCUUGGAGCUAAAGGACUUGAGGUCACUCUGAGAAGGUGUUGAAUCAUAAGAUUUGGUCCAGACUUGAAUAUAUUUUGAAUAAAAGUAAUGAGGGAGAAAAUAACUAUCUAUUUUUAGUUUCCAAAUUUUUCCUCAACUCCCAUCUGGAUAUAGGAGAAAGUCAAACAUUACAAUGUAUAACUACAUUAUAGUUUUAGGGUUAAUAUGUUUUAUGAUAAAAGUAAUCUCAAUUAAGGUCUGCUUGAACUGGGUCCCUUUCAUGAAAGUCUCUCAGUGGUAGAUAGACAGAAUGAGAUUUACAUGCAGACGUUAUCUGAAAUUCCCCUCUUUUAAGGGCAGCAUGGUUCAAAAGGGACUAGUAACUCAUGCUUUUAUUCAGUAAGGAAAAUAUCGCAGAAAUAAAGGAUAAAAUAGUUUCCUUGUAAUUUUUAAUUCAUCUAAAAUCAUGUGAUUCUAGUGACUUUAGUUCAUAAGACUCUUGAAAGAGGACAGAGAACCAAAUAAUAUAGUCUUUAUAGACUUCAUUUGGAAAUUAGGUAUUAUUUACCUUAAAAAUGAUUGAGAAUGUGAAUCUAGGAUUCUGCUAAGAUUACAGCUAACAAAAGGCACAAAGUAAAGUAAAAAGGGAUUGGUAACUGAUAAGCAAAUGAUAGAUGAUUGAGUGGAUAGAUACAUGAAUGGAUUAAUGAAUAGAUAGAAAAGCAGAUAGAUGGAUAAUACAGAUGAAUGAAUUAAUAGAGACACAAAUGGAUAGACAAGGAGAUGACAGAUAAUAGAAAGAUAUUCAUAGAUCAAUACAUGGUUAGUAAAUGAGUAGCGGGAUGCACAUGGAUGAAUAGAUGACUUGGAAGCAGAAUAAAUAGUUGAUAUAUAAAUGAAUAUUGGUAGAUGAAUGAAUAGAUGCUAGAGAUUGAUGAAUGCAAGGGUGAAUUUGGAAUGAAAUUGCAGAUAGAUGCAAGGGUAUGACAAUAUUAUGAUUGUACCCAACUGGAAUGGAAUACCAAUGAAGAUAAUGACAUUUCUUUUCAUGGAACUAUUUUAAAUAGUUUAACUGUUUUAGGAACGUAUGGACUGGUGGCAGAAAAUUAGUCAGUCUCGAAGAGCCCUGAAGUUUCAUAAUAAGUGUCUCAAUGAUAUAAAAAAAAUACAUGAGUGUGCCAUGAUUAGGCCACUUCUGAAUCCUCCCUAGUGCCCCAUUCUGGCCCAUUUGGCCUCUUUAGAACACCAUGCAAAUGGAGGAGAAAAGUGACUUCACUGGGCAGCCUUUAUGCAUCCUUGGUGAUACACAAAAGUCAUCCCUUUUUGCCUCUUCUUAACUCUGAUAUUCACAUGUACCUUCAUCAGUAGACCUACUCGGGAAGGCCUGGUGCUAUAAUUAAUCCAUGUCACAGGCAGAUGUAAGAUUGGCAGAAUUUAUGAGUGGGUUUGAGCUACUGUGAUGAGUAGGGGCACCUCAGCCCGUGUGAUAUAAAUUCCUCUGCUAAUUGGAUUGCUAGAGCUAAUCAGAAGCCAGAAAAGGAAUAAAAAAAUCAGUGUUCCUGCUGCCGCUGCUGCUGCUGGCUGAUAAAGCAGACAGCUCUUUUCAGGACAGGAGGGCGGGGGGAGCUGGAAUUGAAUCCUCAUGCGGAGGUCUCACUCUAGAUAGCUAUCUCAAAGGCGACACAGCCCUUCUGUCGCCAGGCCAGGAGGAGACAGAUAGGGCAAUGGGAGAAAGGGUGAUGUGAGCCCAGAGAGAUUGUAUUACCAAAUUGCAAAAACGGAGUGAAUGGGGAGAGAUGAAAGGAGCCGAGACCAAGACUGGGAGCGGGGACCACCAUCCAAUGGCCUGAGAGAGCUGGAAGGCUUUUCUGAAAUGAGGUACCACUCCCCGGGACACAGGUGCAUGCCCAGCAUCACUGUGGGAUAUGACUUCAGGAAUCUGAGGCCUCAUCCCCAAAGCCAAGAGGCGCUUGCAGGAGAAAGCCAUCUAUAUCUUGUCGUUUAGCUUCACACACUCUUGCGUUCACUUUCCUGAAGACGAGAGAACCGAGGGGACAAUGCAAAUCCCAUUCAAUACUAGGGCAAGUGCAAUUCAGGGAGCUUAGCUGAACUGCUCAAGAUGUAGGGCAAGUGAGGGAAAAAGACCACGUUUAAAACCUCUCACCUGCUGGAAAACCAUCAGCGCAUAGCAGCUGAGAGGGAACGCUCUAUCUGUGCUCACUCUUUCUACAUUUUGGAAGCAGCGAGGGGGUGAUAAGGCAAGUUCGUGUUCAUUGUCCUGCAUACCUUUUCCUCCAGGGAUCAAUAGUUCGUUCCAGCUGAGAGCGUGAAAUGUGUCUAACAGGGACACAGGUUAGAUCCUGGUGGUCCUUAUCUCUACUUUGCUUGUCUAAGUCUACGCCACUUCUCCAAGAAGCAAAUGUAUCCCUAAUAUUGGGUUUCACCACGCCGAGUGCCCUUCAGUUCUCGUUAAAUUCCAUUCUUUGUCUCCUGUAUUCUUUUCUCUCUGUGAUUACCACUUCUUUGCAUAUUUCUUCUGGAGCUCUCUACAUAGGCUCCAAAGCCCUGCCUUGGAGGUAAAUCCUUAGCCUCGAUGAGUAGGCAGCAAGCCCCUCUUGCACACAACAAAGACUUCUAUUUUUUUUUCUAUCUUUUGGGCGACACGAUAAAAAAUAACCCUGUAUUUAUGCAAAUUGCAAAGUAGCGUGUGAUAAUGAAAACAAAACAGUGCUGGCCCGCAGCCAAGACAUGGCGCUGACGGGAGCUCCCCGACCAUUUGGCUCUUGAUUCUUCGGGGAAAGCAGCUGUAGAGAAAUGAGAAUACAGGACCCCCUCCUCACACUCGCACACCCUGGUUCGCACGCAUUCCGGUACCCGUCACCUCGGAGCCAGCGAGACCUGGGAUCCAAAUGCGGUUCUGCCUCCUCCGGCCGUGGAGCACUGCAGUGUCGUCCUCCACGAGCCUCCCUGCCCCUGCUCCUGAUUCCCUUUCAGGAAUUUACAAACAUUUUCCCCAGAUCAAUAUCCGUAUUGAUUAUUCAUUGUGAGUGAGUCGUGUGUCUUUGGUGAUCCAGCUUGCAGAGGUAGCAGGCAAAGGCUGCUGCGGGGGAAAAAAAUAACAGAAGGCGAGAGGGACCCAGCUCUUGCUGGGUCUGCGGCUGUCGGCAACACAGAAGGGAAGAGAAAAAGAGAAAAGCACCUCAAAACCAAGGAAUGGACACGGGUGGAAGAGAAAGAGGGAGCAAUAGCAAGAAAAAAGGAAUCGAUGACUGGACAUCUGGUCCCAGGGAAUCUCGAUGGCUUGGAGGAAACCCCCAUCUUGGGUCUGCUGUUACGUGCAGGACGCAAUGGACUUUGCUCUGGGAGUGCAAAGUGACUCACAGUUUUGGUAUCUCCUACGUAAGAGCUUUGGGGGGAUUCCUUGGCUUGCUGACAGGCAAGGAAGACAGCGGCAGCAGUGAGGUAAAACACGAUUACUUCCAACUGCCUUGCGGAGGAGGCGCAGUCGUGCGGUGUGACUUGGACAGCUUGCUGCUCUCUGAUGGCACGCGGAGGGAGAAUAAUUAAAAAGGCCAGCAUCACUUACUAACACUCUUCAUCUCAAGUGAGUAAGAAAAAAAAGAUAGAAAUCCCCAGAAGAGAGAGAUCCUGCCUGUAGUUUGGAAGAAGCCACGCGGUACCUGAGAUAACUUCAACAGCAAAGGGCACUUCAGCAAAUGGUGAAGACAGCAAGAAGGCUCCUCUUCUCACACAAUGACAUCUCACAAUCGUGCAGGGCUUUCCAAUUUCCACGGUGCUCUUCACACAUAUUACCCUGUUUAAUUCUCACUACAACCAGUGAUAUCGGCGAGACAGAUAGUCUUUAGCUAACUUUACAGAUGAGGGUACUCAGGCUCACAGAGAGAGGACUUGCCUAAGGUUGAAAGAUAAUAAGAGACAGCUGCAGGUCUUCUGGGUCUUAAUCUGGUGCCAUUUUAGUAUUUUUCAUAGGUUCUUAUAAAAAACAUCCUCUUUAGAACCCGUGACUUAAAGGUGCCUUGAUUCUUAAAAAAUAAAAUUCUUUAGAGAUAGGGUCUUGCUGUGUUGUCCACGCUGGAGUGGUCACAGCUCACUGCAGCCUUAUUCUCCUGGGAUCAAGUAAUCCUCUCACCUCAGCCUCUUAAGUAGCUGGGACUACAGGUGCACACCACUAUGCCCAGCUAAUUUUUUUUAAAAGAUGGGGUUUUGCCAUGUUGUCUACCCUGGACUGAGACUCCUGCCCUCAAGCAAAUCCUCCUCCAAAUUGCUGGAAUUAUGGGUGUGAGCCACCAAAUGCAGCCUUUUUUUUUUUUUUUUUUUUUUUGGAGAGAACACGGUCUUGCUUUGUAGCUUGAGCUAGUAUUGAACUCCUGGCCUCAAGCUAUCUUCCUGCCUCAGCCUCCUAAAGUGCUGGGAUUACAGGCAUGAGCCACUAUGCCCACCCGCUUCCUUGAUUCUUGAUCCAUGCUCAUCCCCGCCUCACUUCUUCACCAUGAGGUUUUUUUUCUCAUAGCCUAUGUUAUUUGUAGUUAUGUGCACUUUGAAAAUACUUCCUGUAUCCUGCCAGCGAGGAAGAACCACAGCUAAUUUCCACUGGCAAAGGCAGAAGCCAUCCUUAACUUCCCAUUUUCCUCUAUUUGUUCCUCCUUUCCUUGAAAGUCAAGUUUACCCAUGAGCUGGUCUACAUUUGUACUAUUUUUACUUCUUCACUCCGCUUUGCAUCUCUACCCAGGGCUAUCUGCUUUCAUUCCUACUUUCCCAUUAAAACUGCUCUAAGUCAUUAACAACCAAUUCCACUGUGCCUUCCUCUCUGAAUCAUUGUAUUCAGUGACCACUCCCUCUCGCAAGACGUCUCCUCUGUCAUACCUGGCAUCAUUCUAUUCCUUCUUCAUUUCUGGUUACCUCCUCUCUAGCUUCAUGUCAGACUUAUCUUCCUUUAUUAAUGCCUUAAAUAUUAGUGUUUCUGAAGAGGGUUUCUGUGGCCACCUUCUAUUCUUAACUGUAAACACUUUGUUUUGUGUAAUGUAAAGCCUUGGCUUCAAUGAUCAUCUAUAGGCUGAUCAUCAAUUAUCAUCUCCAUCCCAAACCACUCUCCUGAAUUCAACCCAGGAUCUCUGGCUCCCUGCUGUUACCUCCUUGGGAUGGUCCACGAGCCCUUCAAUUCAGGGCACCCCAAAUCAUCCCCAAACCUGCCUCCCUUCACCCUCUUCUUUUUCUCCCCCAGCUGCUCUUCAAAUUCUCUCAUUUCUUUCCCUAUUUCUAUUUUCUCUUUUUUAUUGUAUUCCUAUCGCUCUUCUCUUAUUUUCCUAGUGGCUUUUCCAAAGGCCUAACUGUUCUCAUCAUUCUCAGAUAUGCCUUGCCCACAAUGCCUUCUCUGUACUAUGUCUAAUUGACCUACAGAAAGUGCAAAUGUGAUUAUCUUGCUCGCCUUUGUGAGAUCCUUCUGAGGAUCCCACCUUCUUACAUGGCCUUCCAGGCUGUUCAUGACCUGUGUGCUGCCUCUCCCUCGCCUGCUCUCUUCUAACUCGUCCAUUGCCCAUGCUCUGCUUCUAGGUCAUAAAAUGCCCCAUAACUCUUUCAUGCCUCUAGGAUUCCAUAUGAGGUUCCUGCUUCCUGGAACGUUCACCUCGGCUUCCUUCAUUUGACCAACUCCUCCUCCCCUUUCAAGACUGUUCCAGCAAGAAGCAUUUCUCCCCCGACCGAAACCUCCCAUGCUGGGUUACGUGCUACUGCAAGACCCUAUUCCUGCUUCCCUCUCCCACAGCAUGACUCCACUUUCACAAUGACCAAGUUUUCCCAUUUGACCAUGAGACACAUGGAGGCAGAGACCGUGCCCUUCAUCCCUGUCUUCCCAGCACCCAGCACAGAUCCCAAAAUAAACUGGGUGCUUAAUAAAUUAAUAUUACUAUUUUUAUUCCAAGUAUCAUAAAUAGUAUUUUUCCAGCUGUAAGAUUACAGGCCUCCAAAAUAAUCAAGCUGAGGGAAAUACAGCGACCGUUUCCCAUAGAGAAAAAAGGAUUUCCUAUUGGGCAAUUCUCACCUACAUCACUUUUUUGACUUCUUUCAGGCGAGAGACAAGCAGUGGGGUGGUCUUUAGGUGUUUGCUGAUGUGGUAGAAACUUUGGAGUUAAUUAGAAGCUCUGGCUAAGGCCGAACUUCCUUUGCAGAGUUCCUGGGAGGAAACACUAAAUUAACAGUUCAAGGUUACUAUUAGAAAAAUGGCCUGUUUCCCUAUGUUAUGCCUCAGAGAGUUUGUUCUUCUCUCUGCCAUUUCUAAGAUGUUUCCAUUUUCCUUUUUACCUGGGUAGGUUUGCCACCCUAAGCCCAGUCAUUCCAACACAGGUGAAAGCUCUUGAGGUCAGGGACUGAUUCUUCGCCUAUCUUCCAGCAGCGGUAGAUUCUGGGGCACUCAAUUAGUACCUGGUGGAGUUGAAUAGUGAGAAAAUCUGCUCAUCACAGAAGAAGGAACGGGGAUGAUUUCCUAAGUUCCCAUUUUCCACAAAGCAGAAAAUGGCAUGAGAUCAGUAGUACCAGACCUCCCUGGCAGUGCUAGAAAUAUCUCAAGAUACUAUGAGCAAUUUCUAAAUUUGGAAAUGCACUGAUUCUUGUUAUUUGCAGUAGUUAUGCUCUGUAAAGUUGCCACAGACACUGAGUUAGUGAAUACCGAACCAUCGCUCCUAGGGGAAAUAGAGAAUUAGGUUCCUGCAAGCCUCUGGUCACAAUGUUUUCAUCAAUGAAUCAAUACAGAGCCUCGUUUUAUGUGUGUUCCUGUUGAAGAUUUAAGAACCUUAUUUUGUGUGUGUGUGUGUGUGUGUGUGUGUGUGUAUAUCUAUACAUAUAGUUACUUAACAUUGAACUCAUGGCCAAUAACACUAUAAUGCAUACCUGAAUGAAGCUUAAUUUACACAUGUGUUUUCUUUGUAAGGGACACCACAGCCUUCUUGUGCUUAGGACCACCAGACGGUACUUUUGCAUCAUGCUUGCAGGGUAUUUUCUUUUCUUUUUUUUUUUGAGACAGUCUUGCUCUGUCACCCAGGCUGGAGUGCAUGGGUGCCAUUUUGGCUCACUGCAACCUCCACCUCCUGGGUUCAAGUGAUUCUCCAGCCUCAGCCUCCCGAGUAGCUGGGAUUACAGGCACAUGCCACCAUGCCUGGAUCAUUUUUGUAUUUUUAGUAGAGACAGGGUUUCCCCAUGUUCGCCAGUCUGAUCUCGAACUCCUGACCUCAAGUGAUCUGCCCACCUCGGCCUCUCAAAGUCCUGGGAUUACAGGUGUGAGCCACUGUGCCCAGCGUUGCAGGGUAUUUUAAAUGACAAAAUCACCAACUAAGAGCACAAAAUGUCAACAACAUGGCAUUAUGAAAAGAACACUUGUUUAUAGUAUGAGAGAUAAAACAGGAAGCAGACCCUUAUUUGACCUCAGCUGGGAACACACACAUUGGGCGACUUGAUGUUUUCACCUCCCUGCAUGUGUCUGUGAAUAAUGAUGAAAGUGCUGCAAGUAUUGAUUUUGAAGUUACAACUAAAUUUCAAUGAGUAGGUGAAUUUGCAAAUACGGAAUCUGUGAAUAAUGAGGUAAUACAUACUAUCAGGAUAUACUAGUGAAAGAGUAGAGUUUUGCUUAUUUCCAAAUAGAGAAAAGGAUCAUCAAACUCACAGGGCAUUUCUGACUUUGAAGUCCCUUCUUUAAAUUGUACAAAACAUCUACUUUCUGGCAAAGUUCAUCUGUGCUUUCUUAGAAGUUUUCAUAUAAAUAAUUGGCACUCACCAGAAGUUGUCUAACUGUUGGGGAUGGGGUGGUGCAUUUUUCUCAAAGAAAGAAAACUGGUUUGCUGCCAGGAGAGGCAAAGACUAGGCAAUUGAUGAGACCCCACUGGAAGCUGAAGGACCUCCCGCUGUUUAUGAUUUAAAGUCGGCCUUGGCGAAAUGACAGAUGACUCACGUUAGGCACCUGUGCCCAUAUACAGAGGAUUAUACAUGAUAGUCUGAAAAGUAUUCUUUUGAGCUAAAUCUUGCCCUUUUUGAGUUAUACCAUCAUGACAUUUCAUAUGGAAAGCAGCUGCUUAGAAACUCAUUUUUGCUUUUUGCUUAUUGAGUCCCAUCUUGUUGCAAAGAAUGGAUACAGAAUUCUAAAACGCAAUGCUACCCUUUUCACACUAACCAAAGGCACAGAGGUACAUGUGUUUUAGAUGUCAGGAAAGGGGGUCACUCAGGCAUGCAGAGUGGACUGAGAGGAGAAGUGUAGUGAGAUUCAGAAACUAAGAGUAAUAAAAGGAGGGUUGGGGGCCGGGCGCGGUGGCUCAUGCCUGUAAUCCCAGCACUUUUGGAUGCCCAGGCGGGUGGAUCACCUGAGGUCAGGAGUUCAAGACCAGCCUGACCAACAUGGAGAAACCCCGUCUCUACUAAAAACACAAAAUAAGCUGGACAUGGUGGCACAUGCCUAUAAUCCCAGCUACUUGGGAGGCUGAGGCAGGAGAAUCGCUUGAACCCAGGAGGCGGAGGUUGCGGUGAAGCAAGAUCGUGCCAUUGCACUCUAGCUGGGGCAAUAAGAGCAAAACUCCGUCUCAAAAAAAAAAAAAAAAAAAAAAAAAGGAGUGUUGGGCACUUCUUACUACGUCUUAUUAAAAGUCUAUUUGGAGUUAGUUCCAUCAGGAUCAGAAUCUCUGCUCUCUUAUUAGUAUUGUGAUCCUAAAACGUUGAGUGACCCCUUUGAGAACUGCUCUCUCUUCUGUGAAAUGGGACCCUAAUACCAACCUCUUGGAAUCACUGUGAGGCUUAAAUGAGAUAACAAUGUCAAGUGCUGGGCUCUAAGUCCAGCAGAAAGUUGGUAAUCAUUGCUUUUGCUAGCAUCUUCUGGGUUCCUAACUAGCAAUCUGACUUUUUGGGCAUAUUCAUGGAGAUACGGAAGACUGGAGUUGAAGAGACCUGCUCUGGGUCAACUUCCUUACUUUAUAGAGGAGAAAGUAGGCUGAGUGGGGUCCAACCAGCACAAGUAUCACAAAGGUAGUCAGGGCAGAAUAAGAAGGAGAACCUAGCUCCCUGAAGCCCAGUUCACAAUUAUACAGUAGGGUCCUGGUGCCUAGAUUUCCACUCCAGAUCCUCCUUCUACAACUAUGAACUGUCUGCCACCCCCACACCCACCCCAUUAGCCUGGUAACUACUGCUCCAUGGGUUAGUGUCUUCUUUGGCAGAAAGACUUGGUGCUACAUCAGCCAAGUUAGAAUUUUUUAGAGCAGGAACCACUGAGUGUGAGUUUUUCGUGUCUCUUGACUAUACAUAAAAAUAGCUAUGAACAGAUAAUACUCACAGCAUAUUAAUGUAAGACAAAGCAAAACGGAUCACAGAAGCUACAGAAGGAAUGCUCCUUUUAAAAGAGAUCAAUUAUUUCUUCAGUUCUCUGUAGCAAUUUGCAAGAUGCUCCCUUGGAAAAGCCCACAGGGAAAUGCUGCUGGAUAUAUAAACCCUAAAGCUUAUAACUGAUCAUGCAAUAACGAGACAAGAAAGCUGUGCUGGACAAACUGGAUGAGGCUGGUUAAUUUCCAACAAGCCUGUCUUAACGAGCGGAGUACAGGCUUAACACUGGCCAUUUCAAGGUGCCAGCAACCUUGCCAUCAGUGUGGAGGUGUGGGGUAGAGGGUAAGAUAGCACAGUCCUGGGGAAGCCAUUGCAGCAACUGGGCCGUGCUAUGGAAUAAUGAAUCACGAGGCAUUUGGGCAAGAAGUUAUAACCAGAAGGACGUGGCAAUAGCAAGACAAAUCACAAUGGACUUAGUGGGUCCUGACAGUGAAAAGGAGGUCAGAGGCUGGAGUGUGUGGUUAAAUGAGUAGGGUCUACCACUGUGCAGUUCAGCCAGGAGAGCUGAGUGGUCCAGACAGCUACAGAAGCACCAAGAUUGGAGCUAGUGGCACAGCUCAGGCUGGCUCACCUCUGCUCAGCUAAGUUGGGUUAUAUAAGCAGGUAUCAACAUUUUGAAGUGGUUAUAUAGGCCUGGUGGGAUGGGUGUCCCUUCGUCCACUUCAUCACAUAAGAGAUAAAUCUUUGCUAUAAAUUGCUCAUGCUUCAGCAAAGAACAAUAUUUCUUAGUGGGUAUUGGAAGGUCUGGAGGCAACAGGCAAAUUCUAUUUCUCCAUGGCUGUGUCCCACUCACUCUCUAUUCUUCACCCAUUUUUGUCCUCAUUGUACUCAUAGCCAAUCAAACUGAGGAUCCACAAAGGCUGAUAUCAGAUGUAACUUCAUCAGAAUAUCCUCCUUGUGAAAGAUCUGUACCUAUAUUUAAUCUGCCAAGGUAAUAGGUUUAAGUGAAACACAGCUGACAUAUCCAACCCACUAAGCUAUUAUAUUUGCAUUUUAUAUUGAACAUCCCUGUAAUAUUCUCGUUGCUAGAUGGAACUGACAUUUCCAUAUGACGGUAAAGGCUAAAUUGUGAAUUGCUUUCAUCGGGGUUUUGCUUCAGUGAUUUCACCACGCUAUAGACAUAGACAAAAAAUCACAACAAAUACACAUAAGUAUCCAACACGUUUUGUGUGUGUGUGUGUGUGUGUGUAUAGUCUGUUCAGUGGCUUAAUUUGGACUUACGCAACAGAUCACCCACCCAGAAUCUAAUUAUUCAGCAACCAUGUUACUUAUUUGGAAUUGAUAAUAAUAAUAAAUGUUUUCUAAGAAGCUGGAGAAGCUGUCACUGAAGUGACAUCAUGGAGGUUCAGAGAUGGUAGAGAAUGCCGGUAGAGAACGCCUCAAGUGCUUGGUCUCAGUUGGAUGUGAGGUCUGUUUUAAGAAUGGUACACUGAUGGCCAGGAGCCCUUGGGGAUCAUGCACCAUGCUAGGCAGCCCUCCUUUCAAAGAAAGGCUUGUGAAAUCAGGACUUGGGAUCUUAGAUCUUUUUUAGUGUGGGAUUUGCAGGAAAGCAAGUUUGGCCUUUGCAAGGAUGGGAAGUGGCAGCACUGGUCCAUCGGAGGAGGGUUUUUGGGAAUAUUUUUGAGUGGCAGAUGAAGGAUUCUAGAAGAGUAUUCAUCCUGAGGAGAGGGUCAGACACACAGGCUUGACUUAAGAAGGAUGACACAGUAAUCAAAGGGGUGGGCGGAUUUGGGGUACAGGACGCCUUCCACUGUGAAGAAGACAGAUUAUCCUUCUCUCCUCCAUCCUCCAAGCCACAUCCCAGCACACAGGCUGAAUCCCAGUGACAAGUGAAAGAUUCGAGAAUGAUUUUCACACAAAGCCUCUUCGAGGGACAGGACAUGGGGGCCAGAAGGGCUUUGGGAACAAGGCAACUGAUUAUGGCAUAACAGUCAAGGAAAGAGAUUCUUUCCCAGCUAUGGAGGAGUUUCCAGGCUGUGGAAAUGCCAAAGGUGAAAAUGACAAAGUGGAAUUGAGGGAAUUUCAACCCGAAGCAGACACCUGUGCUCAUGGCCAUACCAGCCCCAUGUCCAGCGGGAUCCCUUAGUGACUGGAACCUGUGAUAUCACCAACUAUGGCAGCAGGGAGAUGUUGGCACACAGUGAUGCCACCAGCUUGAGGAAGGACAGGAGAGACUGCCUUUGCACGGACAGCAACCAGGAGAUCUCCCAGCAGCAGGGACAGAGCAGGAUGGGGCACCCUCACAAAGACUGAUACAUGGCAGAGGACUUAGAAACCAGCAGGGGUUGAGAAGACUGAUGUGAACACAUGUGACAUCCCCUUUCCCAGUUCACUCCCCAGAGUACCUGGGGGAGAUUUGGAGCAGAAGUGGGGGCUUACAAUUGCAGGUGGAGGUCAAAGCCACCUAUAUUAACAGAGCCCAGCUCUAUAUAGCUUUGACCAGAGAAACUGGUGAUCUCAGCAACCUAUUCUUGGAAACUCUGUGAAGGGAGGAUGGGUGGUCAAACUCCACUUGUAUGGACAAUGAUAACUAAUUUAGAACCUUGCGCUUACAUUUCCCCCAAAACUCAUAGCAGUCACCACACUGCCCUCUCAUUGUUGAUUUACUCAUCUGUCUCCUCUUGCAAGAUGUAAGCUCCUUGAGGAAAGGAACUAUAUUUUAUUCAUCUUCACAUCCCCACUUUUCUGUUUUUUUGUUUGUUUCUUUGUUUAAUACAGUCUCGCUCUGUCACCCAGGCUGGAGUUCAGUUGUGUGAUCAUAGCUCACUGUAGCCUCAAACUCUUGGGCUCUAGCAAUCCUCCUGCCUUGGCCUCCCAAAGCACUGGGAUUACAGGCAUGAACCACUGCAUGGGGCCCACAUUCCAAAUUUUCAACACUGUGUCAGGCAAACAGCAGACACUCAAUCCAGGCAUGUUGGAUGAAUAAAUAGAUGAUGCCUUAAAAAAAUAGAUGAUGAAUAAGUCAUAAUAAUGAGAUGGCCUCAAAUGAGAGGUAGGUUAUGUAAAUAAGCAAAGAUGGUGUCCAAGGAUGUUGUUCCAAAGACGUAGGGCUCCUUCUGGGGAGGCUGUCAUGGGGAGUUAGGAGGAAUUUGUAUGGUCCAGAGCUGGCCCCUACCUGGGCCCUUCCAGAACCCCAUGGAAACUCAUCAGAUUGUAGCCCCUAGUACUGAUCUAGGUGUUCUUGAGGUGAGCAGAGAGGGUAGCUGGGCCACACCUCAACUACUUUAAACUCUUAGUAAUUGAAGAAGUGAAAGCGUAAGAGUAAGGGUCCUAGAAGGUGAGAAGAGAUGACAGAUGAACUUGUCCUGCCUCUUUAGGUCUGGGAACCUUAAGAGGGUUGAGUCCUUGGGCGUGGACCAUGAUAGGCUAUACUUCAGUGAGAUGUGGGCCUUGGGCUGCUGUGGGAUGUGCACAGAGAUUAUUCCACAGGACAGAGGCCAUUCCCCUGUUUCCUUCUCUUAGGAUGUAGUAAGGAAGCUCCACUCCUGUGAGCAGUCCCAGGGUCCCAGCCAAGGUUUCUUGGUUAUGCUUCCAACAAGGGUGGCACUUUGGCCAGAGGAGCUUCACUAGAUGACAGGGCAGUUACAUGUCUGUUGAUUCCAAGCCGCAGAGUUGUGACCUUUUAGGAGAGAGCCGAGGCAUUAUGAGCCAGGAGUGAACCAUCCUGAACACCAAGCAUGGCUGGCAGCAUCAG